RNAcentral lists this long non-coding RNA (6482 nucleotides) under Homo sapiens (human). RNAcentral describes it as "non-protein coding lnc-ABCB9-1:1". Lineage: Eukaryota; Metazoa; Chordata; Mammalia; Primates; Hominidae. The record is from RNAcentral.
GAAGAGGAGGAGGAGCUGGAUCUUGUUCUCCUCCGGGCCUUCUGCUUGCUUCUCUCUGUGAUGCAGGGAGAAGGUGAGGCUGGAAGGCCAGGAGGGGAAGAGGUAAACCUUCGUCCCCUGCUCUGGCCUGGGGCAGGCACAGACCGGCUACAGGGUGAGCGCUUCCUGAGGGGCUUUCCAGAACAGAGAUGGAGCUUCCCAGAGGAGCCCCUUCCUGGCUCCUGCGGCGCCUGGCCCUCACAUCUCAGGCCCGGCUGCACAGAGGCAUGACUGAGCGUCCCCGACCACUGCUCGCCCGACUUCCCCGGGUAGUAACUGCGCCUCCUCUCCCCGAUGCCUGUGGUCCUCACCCUCCGCCCCAGGGGCCGUGCUGGCCUUGCGACCUUGGGAUGUGGAGGCCGAGCAGUUCCUCGAGGUGUCUUUCCUGCUCUUCUUCUUUCUCUUUUCCGACCCCCGUCCCCGGGACCGGCUGCGACUCCUCGAGCGCUUGCGGGAGCCGACGUGAGCCAUGGCGCCGCGGGCUGGCGACGAAGAAGACGCGCUUGAGCCGAAGCCCCCAAGGCCGGCCGCGGGCGGGCUCCAAGGGUGGCUCUAGCGGGGCCGGGGCCUGGCGACGCCCAGUACCCGUCACCGUCCCGGGAAAAUGAGCGACCCUCACCCACCCCCAGCGCUGGGGACCCCGGUUUUCUCCGCCGACUCCAGUCCCCGCAGCGGUGCCUGUUAAGGGCCCGCCCCGUGCCCGGAGGCCCCACGCCUGCGCACCCGGCUCCAAACCCCUGGGAACUGGCCGCCGUCCGCCGCGAGUGGCGUCUGGGGCGCUUUCCCGCGCUCUCCUACCCUCCAGCCCCGCGCCCUUCGCGGCCUCGCCGCCUCAAGGGGGCCCCCGGGGCUGCUCCGUUCCCACCUCGACCGCCCUGCGGGCCGGACAGCCCGCCCCGCGCCUUCUCGAGAGGAAGCGGCGGCGAGGAGGCUUCCGGCCGGGGCGCUGCGCGGGAGGCUGGCCGGCUGGGAAGCGCGGCGCCGCUGCCUUUCGUUCUGACGCCCCAGGUUCCGUCCCGGGCGCGCCCACCUCCCGCAGAGGCAAGCAGGGGCGCCGGCCCUCGAGCUCCGCAGCCCCUCACGCCUGUGUCUGCCGAAGCUGCGCCCACUUCCAAGGCUGCCCUCUCGGCGCACGCCCGCAGCACCCACGCCCCCGGUGCCCUGGGAAGAAGGCGACCCUCGCGCGCGCCGCCCUCCUCCCCGGCUGGUCCUGCCCUCUCCAUACGACUGCGAGCUCCAGACUGAGGCGCCCUGGUCUUUCCGACGCGCCCACCCAGUGACUCAGAGGUCGCAAACUCGUGUCCGUAGGGGCCAGAAAGAUCUUGGCAGUGAGCGCGGGCAUGGACCCCAGGCCCAUCCGGAAGGAAGCCAGGAUUCUGCUCCAGCUGAUACGUGCAACGUGGCAUGGGGCUGGUGCCCCACCUUCCCAGGGAGACCAAACUCAAGACUGCAAUAUGGAAGCCCCCUGAGUUUCAAAUGUGUAACCCAAAGCGUGGCUGUGCGCUUCAUCCAAUCUCGGGCCCCCAAGUUGCAACUCUUCCACAAUGACAGCCGCAAACACAAAGGGAUCUUGCAAAGCACUUUAUAUACGUCAGCGCAUUUGACUCCCAAAACAGCUCUAGGAGGUAGGUGCUAAAUGAGGAAACGAAGGCACCAAAAGGUGAAGGCUCACCUAAAGCCACACAGCUGGAAGUGGCAGAAGCAGAAUGGGAACCCGGGCAGCCUGGUUCCUGGCCCUGCCAUUCACCCCUCUGCCAUCUAGAAGAUGCUACUGGUGGCCCACCCGAGUCCACUGGGGGGUGAUGCCUGCUGCUGAGGGUUCACAUCUGUGCUCUCUGGAGGCUUCCCUUGGCUACUGGAAGGCACCCUGCCCUGGAGAUAAGUGUCUGGGAAGUUAUUCACUCCUCUCUGGCCCCCUCAUCCAGGAGCCAGUAACCGGUGGUGUGGGCACACUGUGGUACUGUGGGCUCUGCCUGGAGCUCUCCGUGGGGCCAGCUGAGGCUGGACGUCCUCUGAAGCCACUUCCUUGCCCAGCUGCUCCCUCCCCUCCCCUGCUUCCCUGACUCCCUCGCUGAAGCCCCAUUCCAGACCCUGCUUCUGACAAACCUGAACUAAGGCAGCAUCUUUGCCCAUAGAAUGACCCAGAAGCUGGCACACCGUUGAGCCAAGAAGUGCAGUAGGCUGCGGGGAUUUUAUUUCUGCCCCCAGACCAAGGCAACGGAGCCCUCACCUGCCUGCCACCCCCACACUGGGCCCAAGCAAGCUCAGGUGAGCGCACAUACAUCCACCGUGGCGGGCUCCUCUCGGGUGAAGCCAUCACCGAAGCCCUCAUCGUCCACCAGGUCGGGCUCACGGCAGCACAUGGGACAGAGGCUGUUGCGCACAGCAGAGGCUCGGAGCCAGACGACAAGGUUCCAACGCUCACCAGUGCCCAAGGGCCGGGCUCCAUGCAGCUGGCCGCCACGGUGGAGGACACCCUGGCCCACCACGUGCUCCACCUCCAGGGGCUCCGUCAGGGCUGUGGGUGCCUGCAGAUGGCACGACUCAGGCCUGGGCACUCACAGCUGCCCCAGGCCCUGCCGCAUGGGUCACACACUCACCUGGAAGAGGCCCCCAAAAUACAGGGCGCCCCCUGUGAAGACCUUGCCCAAGGCCACAUUGAGGGUGAGCUCGGCAUUAUCAUAGUGGCAGCCCAGCUCCAGGUCCUGGCCCGGUGCGUAUUUGACCACAAAGGCCCGGUGGCUGUCGAGCCGGCCCCCGCCACAGUCAGGGUACAGCAGGGCCAUCAGCGGCUGCAGGAAGCGCUCCCGCAGUGGUGUCAUCAGCGGCUCGUCCAGCCCGAGCUCGUGCAGCAGCACCUGGGAGGGGAUUCCUGGGGUCAGCAAGGAAACUAGAGGGCUGCAACCCUGGGCUUCCACUCCACGGUGAUCCCACUGUGACCUUCUUUCGCAGCCCGGGCAGGCAGCCCAUCUGCAGAACCUCUGACACUGCCUCCUGACCCCAGCCACCCCCUCCUCUGCCACCGGCCAGGCCUCACCCACCCCGUAGUUGUUCAUGGUGUUGGGCCUCCCCUUAGGCAUGUCCGAUUGCUCGAAGUGCUCCAGCUCUUCCAGCAGGGCCUGGCAGAAGGGCGCUGUGAAAACAGGCACCCGGUAGAUGCGCUUCUCCUCUGUGGAAGGAGGGAUGGUCUGUUGGCCUGAAUGUGGCCGUGGGCCGGCCAGGCCUGGGCUUCAGUCUUCCUGUUUCAUCACCUGUGCCAUGGAGAUGAGGCCUUUGCUUUUCAGGGCUAUUGUGAUGACUUAAGGAAGUAACAUGAGGAGCAGGGGAGGCCGAUUCCCAUGCCCCCCACUUAUGCCCGGAACCUUUCCCCAGACUCUACAAGUGUCCACAGGGCUGGCCCUGGGAGCUCACAUAUGGGUCCUGAGGCCCAGAGAGGGGAAGGAAGUAGCCCAGGGACACCCAGCAGGCCAGUGACAGCCAAGUCGGGAUCACAGAGCCAACUUCAGGCUCUCUCUGCACCUCCUUUCAUCUGAUGAGCCACCGAAGUCUGUACCCCAACUCAGAAGUGGCUCUGGGAGCCUCUGUCCCCCAGCAGGAAGGCCAGAAGGGGCUGUUCUUUCUUGCUGGGCCCUGAGGGGGAAGAAACCAGGCUGAGAAUGGAAACCUAAACAUUUCUUGGCGGACGCACCAAUGCCCAGGGGUGCAGGGCUAGCCUGGCCUCGCCCUGUGGAUGAUGAUGGCCUUGCCCCCGUGAGCUACAACCUGGCCUUCAGCACCCGCCCACCUCCAACCAGCAGGAUGCGGCUGUGGAAGGCGGUGGUGGUGACUUUGGCCUUCAUGAGUGUGGACAUCUGCGUGACCACGGCCAUCUAUGUCUUCAGCCACCUGGACCGCAGCCUCCUGGAGGACAUCCGCCACUUCAACAUCUUUGACUCGGUGCUGGAUCUCUGGGCAGCCUGCCUGUACCGCAGCUGCCUGCUGCUGGGAGCCACCAUUGGUGUGGCCAAGAACAGUGCGCUGGGGCCCCGGCGGCUGCGGGCCUCGUGGCUGGUCAUCACCCUCGUGUGCCUCUUCGUGGGCAUCUAUGCCAUGGUGAAGCUGCUGCUCUUCUCAGAGGUGCGCAGGCCCAUCCGGGACCCCUGGUUUUGGGCCCUGUUCGUGUGGACGUACAUUUCACUCGGCGCAUCCUUCCUGCUCUGGUGGCUGCUGUCCACCGUGCGGCCAGGCACCCAGGCCCUGGAGCCAGGGGCGGCCACCGAGGCUGAGGGCUUCCCUGGGAGCGGCCGGCCACCGCCCGAGCAGGCGUCUGGGGCCACGCUGCAGAAGCUGCUCUCCUACACCAAGCCCGACGUGGCCUUCCUCGUGGCCGCCUCCUUCUUCCUCAUCGUGGCAGCUCUGGGAGAGACCUUCCUGCCCUACUACACGGGCCGCGCCAUUGAUGGCAUCGUCAUCCAGAAAAGCAUGGAUCAGUUCAGCACGGCUGUCGUCAUCGUGUGCCUGCUGGCCAUUGGCAGCUCAUUUGCCGCAGGUAUUCGGGGCGGCAUUUUUACCCUCAUAUUUGCCAGACUGAACAUUCGCCUUCGAAACUGUCUCUUCCGCUCACUGGUGUCCCAGGAGACAAGCUUCUUUGAUGAGAACCGCACAGGGGACCUCAUCUCCCGCCUGACCUCGGACACCACCAUGGUCAGCGACCUGGUCUCCCAGAACAUCAAUGUCUUCCUGCGGAACACAGUCAAGGUCACGGGCGUGGUGGUCUUCAUGUUCAGCCUCUCAUGGCAGCUCUCCUUGGUCACCUUCAUGGGCUUCCCCAUCAUCAUGAUGGUGUCCAACAUCUACGGCAAGUACUACAAGAGGCUCUCCAAAGAGGUCCAGAAUGCCCUGGCCAGAGCGAGCAACACGGCGGAGGAGACCAUCAGUGCCAUGAAGACUGUCCGGAGCUUCGCCAAUGAGGAGGAGGAGGCAGAGGUGUACCUGCGGAAGCUGCAGCAGGUGUACAAGCUGAACAGGAAGGAGGCAGCUGCCUACAUGUACUACGUCUGGGGCAGCGGGCUCACACUGCUGGUGGUCCAGGUCAGCAUCCUCUACUACGGGGGCCACCUUGUCAUCUCAGGCCAGAUGACCAGCGGCAACCUCAUCGCCUUCAUCAUCUACGAGUUUGUCCUGGGAGAUUGUAUGGAGUCCGUGGGCUCCGUCUACAGUGGCCUGAUGCAGGGAGUGGGGGCUGCUGAGAAGGUGUUCGAGUUCAUCGACCGGCAGCCGACCAUGGUGCACGAUGGCAGCUUGGCCCCCGACCACCUGGAGGGCCGGGUGGACUUUGAGAAUGUGACCUUCACCUACCGCACUCGGCCCCACACCCAGGUCCUGCAGAAUGUCUCCUUCAGCCUGUCCCCCGGCAAGGUGACGGCCCUGGUGGGGCCCUCGGGCAGUGGGAAGAGCUCCUGUGUCAACAUCCUGGAGAACUUCUACCCCCUGGAGGGGGGCCGGGUGCUGCUGGACGGCAAGCCCAUCAGCGCCUACGACCACAAGUACUUGCACCGUGUGAUCUCCCUGGUGAGCCAGGAGCCCGUGCUGUUCGCCCGCUCCAUCACGGAUAACAUCUCCUACGGCCUGCCCACUGUGCCUUUCGAGAUGGUGGUGGAGGCCGCACAGAAGGCCAAUGCCCACGGCUUCAUCAUGGAACUCCAGGACGGCUACAGCACAGAGACAGGGGAGAAGGGCGCCCAGCUGUCAGGUGGCCAGAAGCAGCGGGUGGCCAUGGCCCGGGCUCUGGUGCGGAACCCCCCAGUCCUCAUCCUGGAUGAAGCCACCAGCGCUUUUACUGUUUGGUUUGAGGCACCCCAGUCAACUCCUAGAUUUCAAAAACCUUUUUCUAAUUGGGAGUAAUGGCGGGCACUUUCACCAAGAUGUUCUAGAAACUUCUGAGCCAGGAGUGAAUGGCCCUUCCUUAGUAGCCUGGGGGAUGUCCAGAGACUAGGCCUCUCCCCUUUACCCCUCCAGAGAAGGGGCUUCCCUGUCCCGGAGGGAGACACGGGGAACGGGAUUUUCCGUCUCUCCCUCUUGCCAGCUCUGUGAGUCUGGCCAGGGCGGGUAGGGAGCGUGGAGGGCAUCUGUCUGCCAUCGCCCGCUGCCAAUCUAAGCCAGUCUCACUGUGAACCACACGAAACCUCAACUGGGGGAGUGAGGGGCUGGCCAGGUCUGGAGGGGCCUCAGGGGUGCCCCCAGCCCGGCACCCAGCGCUUUCGCCCCUCGUCCACCCACCCCUGGCUGGCAGCCUCCCUCCCCACACCCGCCCCUGUGCUCUGCUGUCUGGAGGCCACGUGGAUGUUCAUGAGAUGCAUUCUCUUCUGUCUUUGGUGGAUGGGAUGGUGGCAAAGCCCAGGAUCUGGCUUUGCCAGAGGUUGCAACAUGUUGAGAGAACCCGGUCAAUAAAGUGUACUACCUCU